UGAGGAACCUAUCCCAGUCUCUGGAAUAACAGGUGGAAACACCUGCUAAUACCGGAUGCCGCUGGACCAUCGCAUGGUGGACCAACGAAAGAUUUAUCGGAUUGGGAGGGCCUCGCGGCCUAUCAGCUUGUUGGUGAGGUAACGGCUCACCAAGGCGUCGACGGGUAGCUGGUCUGAGAGGAUGAUCAGCCACACGUGGGACUGAGACACGGCCCAGACCUGUACGGGU
This 229-nucleotide ribosomal RNA is filed under the name uncultured bacterium. Its description in RNAcentral is "partial 16S ribosomal RNA". It matches the Rfam family "Bacterial small subunit ribosomal RNA", at positions 118 to 347 of the family's 1533-position model. The record is from RNAcentral.